Molecule: ribosomal RNA, 247 nt
Filed under: uncultured bacterium
Lineage: Bacteria
Description: partial 16S rRNA
Rfam family: Bacterial small subunit ribosomal RNA
Source: RNAcentral
GUGCCAGCCGCCGCGGUAAUACGUAGGGUGCGAGCGUUGUCCGGAAUUACUGGGCGUAAAGAGCUCGUAGGUGGUUUGUCGCGUCGUCUGUGAAAUUCCGGGGCUCAACUCCGGGCGUGCAGGCGAUACGGGCAUAACUUGAGUGCUGUAGGGGAGACUGGAGUUCAUGGUGUAGCGGUGAAAUGCGCAGAUAUCAGGAGGAACACCGGUGGAGAAGGCAGUGCUCUGGGCAGUAACUGACGCUGAG